AGUGAACGCUGGCGGUAGGCCUAACACAUGCAAGUCGAACGGCAGCACAGUAAGAGCUUGCUCUUACGGGUGGCGAGUGGCGGACGGGUGAGGAAUACAUCGGAAUCUACUUUUUCGUGGGGGAUAACGUAGGGAAACUUACGCUAAUACCGCAUACGACCUACGGGUGAAAGCAGGGGAUCUUCGGACCUUGCGCGAUUGAAUGAGCCGAUGUCGGAUUAGCUAGUUGGCGGGGUAAAGGCCCACCAAGGCGACGAUCCGUAGCUGGUCUGAGAGGAUGAUCAGCCACACUGGAACUGAGACACGGUCCUGACUCCUACGGGAGGCAGCAGUGGGGAAUAUUGGACAAUGGGCGCAAGCCUGAUCCAGCCAUACCGCGUGGGUGAAGAAGGCCUUCGGGUUGUAAAGCCCUUUUGUUGGGAAAGAAAAGCAGCAGGUUAAUACCCCGCUGCUCUGACGGUACCCAAAGAAUAAGCACCGGCUAACUUCGUG
This 492-nucleotide ribosomal RNA is filed under the name uncultured bacterium. Its description in RNAcentral is "partial 16S ribosomal RNA". It matches the Rfam family "Bacterial small subunit ribosomal RNA", at positions 29 to 507 of the family's 1533-position model. The record is from RNAcentral.